Molecule: long non-coding RNA, 2558 nt
Organism: Vespa velutina
Lineage: Eukaryota; Metazoa; Arthropoda; Insecta; Hymenoptera; Vespidae
Exons: 3
Source: RefSeq, a predicted model, not a curated record
GUCUGUAUUCAAUGCGCAAACGAAUUGCGCAAUGAAAGCUCGAGUCGCGUGGUUACGCCUGAAGAGUUAGUCGCCGUUACGGCAACACGUAUCGCGAGUCGUUCCUGACAUUUCUCUCUAUAUACACAAAUACGCACAAUGUCUUUUUCUACACUUUUUACGGUAUAUUAACGAUGUCUUCUUUCUAUGUGAGUUGUGACAAAUAUGUGAGUUAGACAAAGAAUAAAAAAGAAAAGGAAGAAAAGAAAGAAGAAGAAGAAGAAGAAAAAGGAAAAGAAAAGAAAGAAAAAGAAGAAAAAGGAAAAGAAAAGGAAGAAAAGGAACGAAAAGAAGCAGAAGAAAAAAAAAAGAAGAAGAAAGAUAUUCAAGAAAGGAGUCAAACGGAAAUGAAAGAAACAGAGCGUCUCCCGCUAACCGGAAAUGUUUUGUAAGCAAACCGAGCGCCAUAUCCGGUGGCUUUGAGAGGGACACUCUAUCCGAUCGUUGCGCCUCCACCUCCUCCGAUCGCCGGAUCUUUCAUCUUUUCAACGUCAAAGUCUCGUCGAUCUUCUUUUGGUUGGGUCACGUUCGACGUUUUACGAUUAUCAGUCCCAUGACAGCUGUUUCGAUCAGGCCUUCUCCACUGAGGAUGGAGAAGGGCAAUACGUUUAACGGACAUGAUAUUUAUUUUCAUACCACCAACAAAAAAUAAUCUUUCAGUUGUCCAAAAUAAGAGCCAUGUUACUGUUAAGUAAAGAUUGAAAAUCUAUCUGUUGAUAUUGAUCUGUUGCAAUAUUGAACAUCUACUUGCAUCAUAUUUUACAAGUUUCCAGCCACGAUCAUCAUAUCUUCAUACUUUGCUUUCGCACGGCUUCCAAUUGGAAACUCAAUUUUAAAUUGGUAAUGCGAACCACCAACUCAAAGUGCACAAUAGCUUUCAUGGCAGCAAGGAAAGAAAAAGAAACGAAGAGAGAAGCCUGGGUGAAGACGCGAAAAAGGAGUCACGCUAUUUCGGUGCACGCGCCGAUCACGGAAAGGCACGUGCGCCUUGACGCAACCACGUCGUGACCCGAUAAAAGGCACUCGAACGUUUUAGGAUCCAUUAAGCAACACGAAUAGGUCGUAAACAUAUAAAACAGCUUCUCUUGUGGCCAUAGAAAAUGGUCGGGGCAACAUCUUGCAACUUCAGCCGAAGAAGAUAAGCCGCGAAAGGAUAACAAGAUAUCGUCAUUGAAGGCAACCACUUUCGCUAUCUUCUCUUCGUUCUUAUAUAUACAGAAAAAUACAAUUUUGGACGAUGUAGCAUUUUUCUUUGUUUAUCAAUAUUCUUGUGUGCCAAGUAUCUUUGCCCGACUAUUAUUUGAAUAUGCAACCUUUCGAAACUCUUACCUCCAUUUUCUUUUUUACUUUCAUUGAUAAAACUCAUUGGUAUUCCUUCAAGAAAUUAAUAAAUAACUUCGUUAUAAUCUGCUAUCUCGAUUCUUAUCUUUGUUGUCUCUAACUUUCUCUCUUUUUAUUGUUGCUUAUUUUAUCUUUAUUUAUUUUUUAUUUAUUUUUAUAACUCGGUUGGCCUGAAAUAUUCGUCGAUCUCUCUAUUUUUCAUAUCUAUUUGUCUUUCUCUUAAAGAAUAUUACUUUUCUGUAAACUUUGAAUCGAUUAUAUUCCUUCCCAUAUCAAAACAUUUUCGUCUAUAAAUAAACGUUUUGCUCGCAAUGGUUUUAUUUAAAAUAAUAAAAGCAAUUAGGUUAAAAGAGAAAGAUCCAGUAAUUGUUGGCCCACUUACCAAGCUAUUUGCCACUAUUAGGAGGGCCAUGUCGGAUUUUCAUGCCGAAUAAUACGACGAUACCUCGAUUUAACGUUCACGAUAACUUUCUUGCUUAAAAUCCAAUUAGCUUAGCCAUGGACAUCAUACAAAUUUCAAUUUUAAGGAUGAGAGCACCGCAUUGCGACACACUGUUGUUUUACUAAGCUUUCGUAACGUAAAUUCGCGAAAGAAAUUAUUAGAAGAGAAAUUCGCGCAUUCGACUUUUUCAAGAAUGUGAGUACUCUUUGGUCCGAAAAAUUCAAUGAAAUGUUCUUCAGAGCUCGUUAUCUCACCUCCUCGACGACCAGACGCACCCAACGCGUCCCCUACCAUUCCGAUCGAAGCGUUCGAGCAAGAGAGGUCACUUCGCUUUGUUCUCAAUUCACCGGACCGUGGAAAAUAGUUCGACGACCGUAGAACUCCGGAAGACCGAUCUCGCAUACUCACUCUCAUUCUUUUUUAACGUAUAGUAUAAAAUUUAAAUUUUAGCGCUAUCUUUUAUAUUUCGUUCUAAUUACUUGCCGUUAAUUAUAUAAAAUCAGAAAAAUAAGUGUAACAUUGAAAAAAUUACCUAACUGUUUAGAUGUUAACUUGAAAAAUGUUAUAUGGAAUAAGUAAUAAAAUGUAUCAUGCAUGAAUCAGUUCGGGUACAUUUUAUAUUAUUAUUUUUUAAAUCAGCUAAAAUAUUAAUAAUGAUGUAAAUAUACAUAUACGAGUGCCAUGAAGAGGGCAAAUCGAUUUUUGAAAGUAACUAGUUUUCAUAGAUCUGUUUAUU